This 203-nucleotide ribosomal RNA is filed under the name uncultured bacterium. RNAcentral's name for it is "partial 16S ribosomal RNA". It matches the Rfam family "Bacterial small subunit ribosomal RNA", at positions 1298 to 1500 of the family's 1533-position model. The record is from RNAcentral.
UUGUAGUCUGCAACCCGACUACAUGAAGCUGGAAUCGCUAGUAAUCGCGAAUCAGAAUGUCGCGGUGAAUACGUUCCCGGGUCUUGUACACACCGCCCGUCACACCAUGGGAGUCGGAAAUGCCCGAAGUCAGUGACCUAACCGAAAGGGAGGAGCUGCCGAAGGUGGAGCCGGUAACUGGGGCGAAGUCGUAACAAGGUAUC